Molecule: ribosomal RNA, 497 nt
Filed under: uncultured bacterium
Lineage: Bacteria
Description: partial 16S ribosomal RNA
Rfam family: Bacterial small subunit ribosomal RNA
Source: RNAcentral
GAUGAACGCUGGCGGCGUGCCUAAUACAUGCAAGUCGAGCGAACGGACGAGAAGCUUGCUUCUCUGAUGUUAGCGGCGGACGGGUGAGUAACACGUGGAUAACCUACCUAUAAGACUGGGAUAACUUCGGGAAACCGGAGCUAAUACCGGAUAAUAUUUUGAACCGCAUGGUUCAAAAGUGAAAGACGGUCUUGCUGUCACUUAUAGAUGGAUCCGCGAUGCAUUAGCUAGUUGGUAAGGUAACGGCUUACCAAGGCAACGAUGCAUAGCCGACCUGAGAGGGUGAUCGGCCACACUGGAACUGAGACACGGUCCAGACUCCUACGGGAGGCAGCAGUAGGGAAUCUUCCGCAAUGGGCGAAAGCCUGACGGAGCAACGCCGCGUGAGUGAUGAAGGUCUUCGGAUCGUAAAACUCUGUUAUUAGGGAAGAACAUAUGUGUAAGUAACUGUGCACAUCUUGACGGUACCUAAUCAGAAAGCCACGGCUAACUACGUG